GACGUAGGGGACGAGCGUUGUCCGGAUUUAUUGGGCGUAAAGCGCGCGUAGGCGGUUUGGUAAGUCGGAUGUGAAAUCCCGUGGCUCAACCACGGGACUGCAUCCGAUACUGCCCGACUAGAGGUAGGUAGGGGAGAUCGGAAUUCCUGGUGUAGCGGUGAAAUGCGUAGAUAUAGGAAGGAAUACCAGUGGCGAAGGCGGCCUCCUGGAUCGACACUGACGCUGAGGCGCGAAAGCGUGGGGAGCAAACAGG
This 253-nucleotide ribosomal RNA is filed under the name uncultured bacterium. RNAcentral describes it as "partial 16S ribosomal RNA". It matches the Rfam family "Bacterial small subunit ribosomal RNA", at positions 524 to 776 of the family's 1533-position model. The record is from RNAcentral.